This 23-nucleotide unclassified non-coding RNA is filed under the name Chlamydomonas reinhardtii. RNAcentral's name for it is "small RNA Cre_2937". Lineage: Eukaryota; Viridiplantae; Chlorophyta; Chlorophyceae; Chlamydomonadales; Chlamydomonadaceae. The record is from RNAcentral.
UGAGGGAAUCAGAGCCAACAUGU